GUUAAUGGGUGAUAGCGUGCCUUUUGUAGAAUGAACCGGCGAGUUACGAUUUGUUGCAAGGUUAAGCGGAAAAAGCGGAGCCGUAGCGAAAGCGAGUCUGAAUAGGGCGCAUAAGUAACAGGUCGUAGACCCGAAACCAGGUGAUCUACCCAUGUCCAGGAUGAAGGUAAGGUAAUACUUACUGGAGGUCCGAACCCACGCACGUUGAAAAGUGCGGGGAUGAGGUGUGGGUAGCGGAGAAAUUCCAAUCGAACUUGGAGAUAGCUGGUUCUCUCCGAAAUAGCUUUAGGGCUAGCCUCGAGGUAAAGAGUCAUGGAGGUAGAGCACUGUUUGGACUAGGGGCCCUUCUCGGGUUACCGAAUUCAGAUAAACUCCGAAUGCCAUGUACUUAUACUCGGGAGUCAGACUGCGAGUGAUAAGAUCCGUAGUCGAAAGGGAAACAGCCCAGACCACCAGUUAAGGUCCCCAAAUAUAUGUUAAGUGGAAAAGGAUGUGGGGUUGCUUAGACAACCAGGAUGUUGGCUUAGAAGCAGCCACCAUUGAAAGAGUGCGUAAUAGCUCACUGGUCGAGUGACCCCGCGCCGAAAAUGUACCGGGGCUAAACAUAUUACCGAAACUGUGGAUGAACCUCUUCGGAGGUUCGUGGUAGGAGAGCGUUCUAAGGGCGGUGAAGUCAGACCGGAAGGACUGGUGGAGCGCUUAGAAGUGAGAAUGCCGGUAUGAGUAGCGAAAGAAGGGUGAGAAUCCCUUCCACCGAAUAUCUAAGGUUUCCUGAGGAAGGCUCGUCCGCUCAGGGUUAGUCGGGACCUAAGCCGAGGCCGAUAGGCGUAGGCGAUGGACAACAGGUAGAGAUUCCUGUACCAGUGCUAAUUGUUUAACCGAUGGGGUGACACAGAAGGAUAGGGAAUCGCACGAAUGGAAAUGUGCGUCCAAGCAGUGAGUGUGA
Molecule: ribosomal RNA, 946 nt
Filed under: Listeria innocua
Lineage: Bacteria; Bacillati; Bacillota; Bacilli; Caryophanales; Listeriaceae
Description: partial 23S ribosomal RNA
Rfam family: Bacterial large subunit ribosomal RNA
Source: RNAcentral